GCCUUUGUGGUGUAGUAGUUAACACGCUGGGCGCCUGUUCCAGAGGUCCGUGGUUCGAGUCCCGGCGAAGACG
RNAcentral lists this transfer RNA (73 nucleotides) under Stegodyphus mimosarum. It matches the Rfam family "tRNA". From Rfam's summary of the family: Transfer RNA (tRNA) molecules are approximately 80 nucleotides in length. Their secondary structure includes four short double-helical elements and three loops (D, anti-codon, and T loops). Lineage: Eukaryota; Metazoa; Arthropoda; Arachnida; Araneae; Eresidae. The record is from Rfam by way of RNAcentral.